Seriola aureovittata is the source of this 586-nucleotide long non-coding RNA. RefSeq lists it as uncharacterized. The transcript is spliced from 5 exons. The record is from RefSeq and is a predicted model, not a curated record. NCBI's taxonomy places the organism in Eukaryota, Metazoa, Chordata, Actinopteri, Carangiformes, Carangidae.
GGUGGAUGACCAUGUGCAGGGCGUAGGCCAAGACCAGCAGCAGGAUGAGGGAAGUGAUGAGGCCCAUCAGGAUGGCCGGAGUCAAGAAGGUGGUGCAGUCGCUCGGAGGAGAAAACUUACCAGAGGAGUACGUACGUGGCCUUGUCCCGGCGGCAGACGGACUGACUGGUGUCGACAGGUUUCUGAGGAGAAAACGCUCGCUCUGUCAGGUCCAGCUGCUUCUGCUUCUCGUAGCGCAGAGACAGUUUCCUGGCCUGGAACAUGACGCACGGCUCCCCGUUGGACAACACCUGGUGAAGUAGAUACAAGCUGAAGUUGAGAUCUUCCUUUAUAGGCUGAGACAAGUCUCCUACUUCUUAAGAUAGCUGGUUAAUCCUCUGGAGGUUACGCCACCUUGAGGGGAGGGAAGGGAACUGCAGCUCCUGGCAUCUGAAGCAACUUCCUCCGGGACACAUCUGGAGACUGGAGAGGAGGAUGGAGACAGUGAGAAGAAAGAAACUUUGCUGUUUCAUCUCUGAUGAAAAUCCCCAAAUCGUCCAGCAGUGAAGCUAAAAGCUCUGUGACAAUACUUGCCCUUGAAUAGAAG